Molecule: unclassified non-coding RNA, 589 nt
Filed under: Hevea brasiliensis (rubber tree)
Lineage: Eukaryota; Viridiplantae; Streptophyta; Magnoliopsida; Malpighiales; Euphorbiaceae
Source: RNAcentral
GUGAGUUUUUCUUGAAAGGGGUUUUUCUUUAACUGCUGUCAUCCCCAGAAAAAGAAAGAUCAUAAUUACUUGGGGCAAGUCUAAUAAUGCCUACUAUUGCUAAACAUGAUGGUCGGCAGCUGGAGACUGGGCUGCGAAUUACCUCACUAUCAACUACCCAAAUGCAACCAUGGUGGCACGGUUAUGGUGAUAAUACUAUGCCUUUGGCUAGUGAGAAUGCCGUUGCCCAGGAGAAAUCUGAAGGUGGCAACCAGGAUAAAGAAACAAAGGCUCUAGCCAUGGAAUCUGGAUCAGAUGGAAAUAACGAGCAAUACAAGCAGCACCUCAAGCAUUUUGCACCCACAACUGCUGCCAUCAUGGCUGAGCAGCAGAAGGAACUCACAGGUCAUUCAGCUAUGUUGGCGUCAUAUCCAUAUCCAGAUAUGCAGUAUGGGGGAAUGAUGACUUAUGGCGCACCUGUACAUCCCCACUUAUUUGAAAUUCAUCAUGCCCGAAUGCCUUUGCCUCUCGACAUGGAAGAGGAACCUGUCUACGUGAAUGCAAAACAGUACCAUGGAAUAUUAAGGCGAAGACAGAUAAGAGCUAAAGC